RNAcentral lists this ribosomal RNA (276 nucleotides) under uncultured prokaryote. RNAcentral's name for it is "partial 16S ribosomal RNA". It matches the Rfam family "Bacterial small subunit ribosomal RNA", at positions 524 to 800 of the family's 1533-position model. The record is from RNAcentral.
UACGUAGGGUGCGAGCGUUGUCCGGAAUUACUGGGCGUAAAGGGUGCGUAGGUGGUUUAUUAAGUCAGAGGUGAAAGGCUACGGCUCAACCGUAGUAAGCCUUUGAAACUGGGAAACUUGAGUGCAGGAGAGGAGAGUGGAAUUCCCAGUGUAGCGGUGAAAUGCGUAGAUAUUAGGAGGAACACCAGUUGCGAAGGCGGCUCUCUGGACUGUAACUGACACUGAGGCACGAAAGCGUGGGGAGCAAACAGGAUUAGAUACCCUGGUAGUCCCUGA